AUUGAACGCUGGCGGCAUGCCUAACACAUGCAAGUCGAACGGCAGCACGGUUACUUGCUGCUGUUAGCGAGUGGCGAACGGGUGCGUAAUACAUAGGCACCUGUCCCUUCGUUUUGGAGUGCCCUAACGAAGCCGGAUUUACUCCACGACCGAAUCUCACAUAAGAGCGAGGGCGCGGGAUCUUUCGCGCUGUCGGGAUUGAAUAUGCCGAUGUCGGAUUAGCUAGUUGGUGGGGUAAAGGCCUACGAAGGCGACGAUCAGUAGCUGGUCUGAGAGGACGAUCAGCCACACUGGAACUGAGACACGGCCCAGACUCCUACGGGAGGCAGCAGUGGGGAAUUUUGGACAAUGGGCGAAAGCCUGAUCCAGCAAUGCCGCGUGUGUGAAGAAGGCCUUCGGGUUGUAAAGCCCUUUUGUCCGGAAAGAAAACCUUGGCCCUAAUACGGAGGUGGGAUGACGGUACCGGAAGAAUAAGCACCGGCUAACUACGUG
RNAcentral lists this ribosomal RNA (492 nucleotides) under uncultured bacterium. RNAcentral describes it as "partial 16S ribosomal RNA". It matches the Rfam family "Bacterial small subunit ribosomal RNA", at positions 30 to 507 of the family's 1533-position model. The record is from RNAcentral.